CCUCUUUCCUUGACUAGUUGGAGCCUCAGUUCCUUGGGGUGUACAAUGGGAACAAUAAUGGCCUCUUCCCACUACCUGGUGACGGCUAGCACAAUCCAGGGAGACAUUGGCUGUGAGGUCUGGGAUGAACCACCAAGCGCUCCACGUUAAUUAUUAUUAUUACCUCUGCCUGACUGACGAAAGAAGCGGGGAAGGAUGCCACAGGAUCAGACAGGCCUGUGGAGAUCAGGCCUCAGGGAAGACUGUGCUGAAAAUCAGGGUAAGGAUCUGAUGCAAAGGAUUCCAGAGCUGCCAUAAAGAUGGAACACAGAGCCUUGGCCCUGAGACGGAAAGAGUGGGACCAUGUGUUCUGGAAUGGAGACAUUUAGGUAAAUGAACCCAAACAUCUUGAAACUCCAAAUUCCCUUCCCAAAGGAGCAGCACCUCACCUUUGCCAGAGGAGACUAGACUGUACUUGUCUGGAGGACAUGCAAUGAUCUCACUUAAAGCAGUUUCUUCACAAGAUGAUGCUUGUCCUCCAGAAGACAAGCUCACCUCCGCUAACCCUCCUUGUCUCCAGACUGAUAGCCAAAGUCAGGUCUCAACAAGCUCAGAUGGAGAAGCAGAAUCCACGUUUUA
This 618-nucleotide long non-coding RNA is filed under the name Equus caballus (horse). RNAcentral's name for it is "lncRNA (ENSECAG00000053322.1)". The record is from RNAcentral. Lineage: Eukaryota; Metazoa; Chordata; Mammalia; Perissodactyla; Equidae.